AGAGCGAACGCUGGCGGCAGGCCUAACACAUGCAAGUCGAGCGCCCGUAAGGCAAUACGGGACGCGGCAGACGGGAGAGUAACACGGUGGGAACGCGCCCUUCGGUUCGGAAUAACUCAGGGAAACUUGAGGCUAAUACCGGAUACGCCCUUACGGGGAAAGAUUUAUUGCCGAAGGAACGGCCCGCGUCCGAUUAGCUUGUUGGUGAGGUAAUGGGCUCGACCAAGGCGACGAUCGGUAGCUGGUCUGAGACGGAUGACCAGCCUCACUGGGACUGAGACACGGCCCAGACUCCGUACGGGAGGCAGCAGUGGGGAAUAGUGGACAAGUGGGCGCAAGCCUGGAGUCCAGCCAUGCCGGCGUGGAC
This 367-nucleotide ribosomal RNA is filed under the name uncultured bacterium. RNAcentral's name for it is "SSU rRNA". It matches the Rfam family "Bacterial small subunit ribosomal RNA", at positions 26 to 406 of the family's 1533-position model. The record is from RNAcentral.